GAUGAACGCUGGCGGCGUGCUUAACACAUGCAAGUCGAACGAGAAGUGGAGACGGAAACCUUCGGGCGGAAGACUUUAUUUCGAGUGGCGGACGGGUGAGUAACGCGUGGGUAACCUGCCUCAUACAGGGGGAUAACAGUUGGAAACGACUGUUAAUACCGCAUAAGACCACCGCACCGCAUGGUUCGGGGGUAAAAACUCCGGUGGUAUGAGAUGGACCCGCGUUCGAUUAGCCAGUUGGCGGGGUAACGGCCCACCACAGCGACGAUCGAUAGCCGAUCUGAGAGGCUGACCCGCCACAAUGGGACUGAGGCACGGCCCAAACUCCUACGGGAGGCAGCAGUGGGGAAUAUUGCACAAUGGGGGAAACCCUGAUGCAGCGACGCCGCGUGAGUGAAGAAGUAUUUCGGUAUGUAAAGCUCUAUCAGCAGGGAAGAAAAUGACGGUACCUGAGAAAGAAGCCCCGGCUAACUACGUG
RNAcentral lists this ribosomal RNA (478 nucleotides) under uncultured bacterium. Its description in RNAcentral is "partial 16S ribosomal RNA". It matches the Rfam family "Bacterial small subunit ribosomal RNA", at positions 28 to 507 of the family's 1533-position model. The record is from RNAcentral.